Molecule: long non-coding RNA, 621 nt
Filed under: Phasianus colchicus (ring-necked pheasant)
Lineage: Eukaryota; Metazoa; Chordata; Aves; Galliformes; Phasianidae
Description: lncRNA (ENSPCLG00000021898.1)
Source: RNAcentral
AUUUUCUACUCAGAAGCCAAAGGCUGAAAGCUGACUCACUGUUAAUAGAAAGUAUGAAAGCCUGCUAGGAGCAACAUGAUUUCAGGAGCUCAGACUAUCAUGGGAACAUCAAAUGCAUCUGGCAUUGUGAUAAGGCCAUCAGAAAUUAGCAACACCAAAGGCACACCCUGUGUGUCCUUCUAACACAGAUCAUAGCUGAUAUGUAUCUGUCUGCACUGACAUCACCUAGAGCCUCAGCAGCAUACUUUGGAGAUUUGAAGAUGCUCAGAAUCAAGGACAGCUCUGUGCCUUCAUCCAUAACCUGCUGCUGAUCCCAAUCAGUUGGAGGUGCUGGGAUAGAUGGGCUAAGUCAGCCCUCACCAAUAAUGCAGGUUUGAAGGUGAAGCUUAUGGAGAUAGGAAGAAGGCCUGGGGCACGUUUUCCUCUGCCAUCUAUGAAUAUCUACAUUUCCAUCCUCUCCUCGUCUCAUCCAGACUGUCCCAAAGCACUUUUUUUUGUUCAAAUUGGAGUGAAUUCCUUAUAAAGGGCAAAUGGAGAACAGUAGCAGCCUUCUGACCAAGGUGCUGCUGAGUAUUUUCACUGCUGCACACUCACCUUGUCCUCUUCUCAAGUUGGACCAUG